RNAcentral lists this ribosomal RNA (2900 nucleotides) under Streptococcus agalactiae. RNAcentral describes it as "bacterial LSU rRNA". It matches the Rfam family "Bacterial large subunit ribosomal RNA". Lineage: Bacteria; Bacillati; Bacillota; Bacilli; Lactobacillales; Streptococcaceae. The record is from RNAcentral.
UUAAGUUAAUAAGGGCGCACGGUGGAUGCCUUGGCACUAGAAGCCGAAGAAGGACGUGACUAACGACGAAAUGCUUUGGGGAGCUGUAAGUAAGCGCUGAUCCAGAGAUGUCCGAAUGGGGGAACCCACUAGUUAAUGACUAGUAUCCAUAUCUGUUAAGGAUAUGAGAAGGAAGACGCAGUGAACUGAAACAUCUAAGUAGCUGCAGGAAGAGAAAGCAAAAGCGAUUGCCUUAGUAGCGGCGAGCGAAACGGCAGGAGGGCAAACCGAAGUGUUUACACUUCGGGGGUGUAGGACUGCGAUAUAGGAUUAAUCAUUAUAGAAGAAUUACCUGGGAAGGUAAGCAAAAGAGAGUAACAGCCUCGUAUUUAAAAUGAUAGAUUAACCUUAGCAGUAUCCUGAGUACGGCGAGACACGCGAAAUCUCGUCGGAAUCUGGGAGGACCAUCUCCCAACCCUAAAUACUCUCUAGUGACCGAUAGUGAACCAGUACCGUGAGGGAAAGGUGAAAAGCACCCCGGGAGGGGAGUGAAAUAGAACCUGAAACCGUGUGCCUACAACAAGUUCGAGCCCGUUAAUGGGUGAGAGCGUGCCUUUUGUAGAAUGAACCGGCGAGUUACGAUAUGAUGCGAGGUUAAGUUGAAGAGACGGAGCCGUAGGGAAACCGAGUCUUAAUAGGGCGCCAUAGUAUCAUGUUGUAGACCCGAAACCAUGUGACCUACCCAUGAGCAGGUUGAAGGUGAGGUAAAACUCACUGGAGGACCGAACCAGGGCACGUUGAAAAGUGCUUGGAUGACUUGUGGGUAGCGGAGAAAUUCCAAACGAACUUGGAGAUAGCUGGUUCUCUCCGAAAUAGCUUUAGGGCUAGCGUCGAUGUUAAGUCUCUUGGAAGGUAGAGCACUGUUUGGGUGAGGGGUCCAUCCCGGAUUACCAAUCUCAGAUAAACUCCGAAUGCCAACGAGAUAUAAUCGGCAGUCAGACUGCGAGUGCUAAGAUCCGUAGUCGAAAGGGAAACAGCCCAGACCACCAGCUAAGGUCCCAAAAUAUAUGUUAAGUGGAAAAGGAUGUGGGGUUGCACAGACAACUAGGAUGUUAGCUUAGAAGCAGCUAUUCAUUCAAAGAGUGCGUAAUAGCUCACUAGUCGAGUGACCCUGCGCCGAAAAUGUACCGGGGCUAAAACAUAUUACCGAAGCUGUGGAUGACACAAAAGUGUCAUGGUAGGAGAGCGUUCUAUGUGUGAAGAAGGUGUACCGUGAGGAGCGCUGGAACGCAUAGAAGUGAGAAUGCCGGUAUGAGUAGCGCAAGACAGGUGAGAAUCCUGUCCACCGUAAGACUAAGGUUUCCAGGGGAAGGCUCGUCCGCCCUGGGUUAGUCGGGACCUAAGGAGAGACCGAAAGGUGUAUCCGAUGGACAACAGGUUGAUAUUCCUGUACUAGAGUAUAUAGUGAUGGAGGGACGCAGUAGGCUAACUAAACCAGACGAUUGGAAGUGUCUGGUCAAACAGUGAGGUGUGAUAUGAGUCAAAUGCUUAUAUCUUUAACAUUGAGCUGUGACGAGGAGCGAAGUUUAGUAGCGAAGUUAGUGAUGUCACACUGCCAAGAAAAGCUUCUAGCGAUACAUAUACUCUACCCGUACCGCAAACCGACACAGGUAGUCGAGGCGAGUAGCCUCAGGUGAGCGAGAGAACUCUCGUUAAGGAACUCGGCAAAAUGGCCCCGUAACUUCGGGAGAAGGGGCGCUGAUUUUAGAUCAGCCGCAGUGAAUAGGCCCAAGCAACUGUUUAUCAAAAACACAGCUCUCUGCUAAAUCGUAAGAUGAUGUAUAGGGGGUGACGCCUGCCCGGUGCUGGAAGGUUAAGAGGAGUGCUUAGCGUAAGCGAAGGUAUGAAUUGAAGCCCCAGUAAACGGCGGCCGUAACUAUAACGGUCCUAAGGUAGCGAAAUUCCUUGUCGGGUAAGUUCCGACCCGCACGAAAGGCGUAAUGAUUUGGGCACUGUCUCAACGAGAGACUCGGUGGAAUUUUAGUACCUGUGAAGAUGCAGGUUACCCGCGACAGGACGGAAAGACCCCAUGGAGCUUUACUGCAGUUUGAUAUUGAGUAUCUGUACCACAUGUACAGGAUAGGUAGGAGCCUAUGAUAACGGGACGCCAGUUUCGUUUGAGGCGUUGUUGGGAUACUACCCUUGUGUUAUGGCUACUCUAACCCAGAUAGGCAAUCCCUAUCGGAGACAGUGUCUGACGGGCAGUUUGACUGGGGCGGUCGCCUCCUAAAAGGUAACGGAGGCGCCCAAAGGUUCCCUCAGACUGGUUGGAAAUCAGUCGUAGAGUGUAAAGGUAUAAGGGAGCUUGACUGCGAGAGCUACAACUCGAGCAGGGACGAAAGUCGGGCUUAGUGAUCCGGUGGUUCCGUAUGGAAGGGCCAUCGCUCAACGGAUAAAAGCUACCCUGGGGAUAACAGGCUUAUCUCCCCCAAGAGUUCACAUCGACGGGGAGGUUUGGCACCUCGAUGUCGGCUCGUCGCAUCCUGGGGCUGUAGUCGGUCCCAAGGGUUGGGCUGUUCGCCCAUUAAAGCGGCACGCGAGCUGGGUUCAGAACGUCGUGAGACAGUUCGGUCCCUAUCCGUCGCGGGCGUAGGAAAUUUGAGAGGAUCUGCUCCUAGUACGAGAGGACCAGAGUGGACUUACCGCUGGUGUACCAGUUGUCUUGCCAAAGGCAUCGCUGGGUAGCUAUGUAGGGAAGGGAUAAGCGCUGAAAGCAUCUAAGUGCGAAGCCCACCUCAAGAUGAGAUUUCCCAUGAUUUUAUAUCAGUAAGAGCCCUGAGAGAUGAUCAGGUAGAUAGGUUAGGAGUGUAAUUGUGGUGACACAUUUAGCGGACUAAUACUAAUAGCUCGAGGACUUAUCC